This 65-nucleotide transfer RNA is filed under the name Curculionoidea sp. 20 KM-2017. Its description in RNAcentral is "tRNA-Cys". The record is from RNAcentral. Lineage: Eukaryota; Metazoa; Arthropoda; Insecta; Coleoptera.
AAUUAUAUAGUCUAUAUAAGGAUAUUAAAUUGCAAGUUUAAAGGUAACAGUAGGGUUUAUAAUUU